CCCUUAGAUGUCCUGGGCCGCACGCGGGUUACACUGAUGCAUUCAACGAGCUUAUAACCUUGGCCGAGAGGCCUGGGCAAUCUUGUUAACGUGCAUCGUGAUAGGGAUAGAUUAUUGAAAUUAUUAAUCUUGAACGAGGAAUUCCUAGUAAACGCAGAUCAUCAAUCUGCAUUGAUUACGUCCCUGCCCUUUGUACACACCGCCCGUCGCACCUACCGAUUGGAUGGUCCGGUGAAGCCUCGGGAUUGUGGUUCUUGCCGCUUUAUUGUGGCGUGACCGCGAGAACUUGUCUAAACCUUAUCAUCUAGAGGAAGGUGAAGUCGUAACA
RNAcentral lists this ribosomal RNA (328 nucleotides) under uncultured eukaryote. RNAcentral's name for it is "partial 18S ribosomal RNA". It matches the Rfam family "Eukaryotic small subunit ribosomal RNA", at positions 1470 to 1796 of the family's 1831-position model. The record is from RNAcentral.